GCCUAAAGCAUCCGUAGCCGGCUCUGUUAGUAUUCGGUUAAAUCUAUGCGCUCAACGCAUGGGCUGCCGAAAAUACUGCAGAGCUAGGGAGUGGGUGAGGUAGACGGUACUCGGUAGGAAGGGGUAAAAUCCUUUGAUCUAUGNAUGACCACCUGUGGCGAAGGCGGUCUACCAGAACACGUUCGACGGUGAGGGAUGAAAGCUGGGGGAGCAAACCGGAUUAGAUACCCGGGUAGUCCCAGCUGUAAACGAUGCAGACUCGAUGAUGCAUUGGCUUAUCGCCAAUGCAGUGUCGCAGGGAAGCCGUUAAGUCUGCCGCCUGGGAAGUACGUACGCAAGUAUGAAACUUAAAGGAAUUGGCGGGGGAGCACCACAAGGGGUGAAGCCUGCGGUUCAAUUGGAGUCAACGCCAGAAAUCUUACCCGGAGAGACAGCAGAAUGAAGGUCAAGCUGAAGACUUUACCAGACAAGCUGAGAGGUGGUGCAUGGCCGUCGCCAGCUCGUGCUGUGAGAUGUCCUGUUAAGUCAGGUAACGAGCGAGAUCCCUGCCACUAGUUGCUAUCAUUAUUCUCAGGAAUAAUGGAGCGAAUUAGUGGGACUGCCGUUGUUAAAACGGAGGAAGGAGGGGGCCACGGCAGGUCAGUAUGCCCCGAAACUCUGGGGCCACACGCGGGCUGCAAUGGUAGUGACAAUGAGUUCCAAACUCGAAAGAGAGUGGCAAUCUCUAAACGCUACCACAGUUAUGACUGAGGGCUGCAACUCGCCCUCACGAAUAUGGAAUCCCUAGUAACCGCGUGUCAUUACCGCGUGGUGAAUACGUCCCUGCUCCUUGCACACACCGCCCGUCGUUUCAUCGAAGUUUGCUUUUAGCGAGGUGAUGUUUAAUGGC
This 889-nucleotide ribosomal RNA is filed under the name uncultured marine group I thaumarchaeote. Its description in RNAcentral is "bacterial SSU rRNA". It matches the Rfam family "Archaeal small subunit ribosomal RNA", at positions 508 to 1398 of the family's 1478-position model. Lineage: Archaea; Thermoproteati; Nitrososphaerota. The record is from RNAcentral.